Molecule: ribosomal RNA, 16 nt
Filed under: Fusarium euwallaceae
Lineage: Eukaryota; Fungi; Ascomycota; Sordariomycetes; Hypocreales; Nectriaceae
Description: partial 28S ribosomal RNA
Source: RNAcentral
AACUUCUGAAUGUGAC